RNAcentral lists this ribosomal RNA (268 nucleotides) under uncultured Eubacteriales bacterium. RNAcentral describes it as "uncultured Clostridiales bacterium partial 16S ribosomal RNA". It matches the Rfam family "Bacterial small subunit ribosomal RNA", at positions 73 to 339 of the family's 1533-position model. Lineage: Bacteria; Bacillati; Bacillota; Clostridia; Eubacteriales. The record is from RNAcentral.
UCGGAGCUUGCUCCGAUCGGAUUAGUGGCGGACGGGUGAGUAACGCGUGAGUAACCUGCCUGCGAGAGGGGGAUAACAACGGGAAACUGUUGCUAAUACCGCAUAACGCAUCGAUUCCGCAUGGAGAUGAUGCCAAAGGGAAACCGCUUGCAGAUGGACUCGCGUCUGAUUAGGUAGUUGGUGAGGUAACGGCUCACCAAGCCGACGAUCAGUAGCCGGCCUGAGAGGGUGAACGGCCACAUUGGGACUGAGACACGGCCCAAACUCC